RNAcentral lists this ribosomal RNA (217 nucleotides) under uncultured bacterium. RNAcentral's name for it is "partial 16S ribosomal RNA". It matches the Rfam family "Bacterial small subunit ribosomal RNA", at positions 1283 to 1500 of the family's 1533-position model. The record is from RNAcentral.
ACAGCUCAGUUCGGAUUGAAGGCUGAAAUUCGCCUUCAUGAAGCCGGAAUUGCUAGUAAUGGCAGGUCAGCAUACUGCCGUGAAUACGUUCCCGGGCCUUGUACACACCGCCCGUCACACCAUGAGAGUUGGGAAUACCCGAAGCCUGUGAGCUAACUUUUAGAGGCAGUAGUCGAAGGUAGAAUCAAUGAUUGGGGUGAAGUCGUAACAAGGUAUC